RNAcentral lists this ribosomal RNA (253 nucleotides) under uncultured bacterium. RNAcentral describes it as "partial 16S ribosomal RNA". It matches the Rfam family "Bacterial small subunit ribosomal RNA", at positions 524 to 776 of the family's 1533-position model. The record is from RNAcentral.
UACGGGGGGGGCAAGCGUUGUUCGGAAUUACUGGGCGUAAAGGGCGCGUAGGCGGCCCACUAAGUCAGACGUGAAAUCCCCCGGCUUAACCUGGGAACUGCGUCUGAUACUGGAGGGCUUGAGUAUGGGAGAGGGAUGUAGAAUUCCAGGUGUAGCGGUGAAAUGCGUAGAUAUCUGGAGGAAUACCGGUGGCGAAGGCGGCAUCCUGGACCAUUACUGACGCUGAGGCGCGAAAGCUAGGGGAGCAAACGGG